GCCCAAAACUAAGCCGACCUAACACCCAAAACCCCACCAAUCCUCAAUCAAAACAUUUACCCCGGCCAGUAAAUGAGAUUAAACACCAACAACCGGCCCCUCAAGUACCGCAAGGGAACAAUGAAAGAAUAAUGAAAAAAUUUAAGCACAACACAGCAGAGAUAUACCCCUGUACCUCCUGCAUCAUGGUCUAGCAAAACCUCCCAGACAAAGAGAGCCUUUAGCCUGCUCCCCCGAAACCAAACGAGCUAUUUUUAAGCAGCUACCAAACCCCCCAGAGCGCACCCAUCCCUGUAGCAAAAGGGUGGGAAGACUUAAAAAUAGAGGCAAAAAGCCAACCGAGCUUGGUGAUAGCUGGCUACUCAACAAAAGAGUUUAAGCUCAACUUUAGGCACUUAUGAGCCACCAUUUAAUAAAACUCUUCCUGUUAAACCUAAAGAAAAUCAAUGGGGGUUCAGCCCCAUUGAACCGGGAUACAGCCCGAAAUGAGAGACCCCCCCCCCAUUUUUUUAUUUGUAGGCUUCAAAGCAGCCACCAAAAAUCGCGUUAUAGCAUAUUUACUAAACAAUUUUAAUAACUUAAUAACCCUCCUAACUUACAACGAGUCAUUCUAUACUACUAUAGAAACACCAAUGCUAAAAUUAGUAAUAAGAAACACUCAUUUCUCUUCUGCACCCCUUUAAGUCAGAUUAGAAAAACUACUGACAAUUAACAAACCAAAUAAACACACACUCCACCAAGCCCUAAUGUUACUAAAAACUUGUUACCCCCACACAGGCGUGCAAAAAAGAAAGACAAAAACCCACAAAAGGAACUCGGCAAGACUUAGUCCCAACUGUUUACCAAAAACAUAGCCUUUAGCCUCACAAGUAUUAAAGGUCUCGCCUGCCCAGUGACUCUUUAAACGGCCGCGGUAUCCUAACCGUGCAAAGGUAGCAUAAUCACUUGUCCCUUAAAUAGGGACUGGAAUGAAUGGCUAAAUGAGGACUAAACUGUCUCUUAUGGGUUGUCAAUGAAAUUGAUUUUCCAGUACAAAAGCUGGAAUAAGCACAUAAGACGAGAAGACCCUGUGGAGCUUCAAAACCAAGUUCAUCAACCAAUGUUUCCUUGGAUUUUUAGUUGGGGCGACUUUGGAGUACAAAAAACCCUCCAAAACAUGUUAAACCAAUAAAAUUAAGAACAACAAGCCAAAAACUACAAAAGACCCAGCAAUCAACCCCCUGUUUGUCUGACCAAUGAACCAAGUUACCCCAGGGAUAACAGCGCUAUCCCCUUCUAGAGUCCCUAUCGACAGGGGGGUUUACGACCUCGAUGUUGGAUCAGGACACCCCAAUGGUGCAGCCGCCAUUAAAGGUUCGUUUGUUCAACGAUUAAAGUCCUACGUGAUCUGAGUUCAGACCGGAGAAAUCCAGGUCGGUUUCUAUCUAUGGAGCACUACCUUUAGUACGAAAGGACCAAGAUAGUAGGACCUAUACCAAAAGAAUGUCCUAACUAAAACUACUGAGAAACCCUAAAGUAGUAAACAACCUACCCCCCUUAACCAAAAUCAGGUUUA
Molecule: ribosomal RNA, 1555 nt
Filed under: Darevskia unisexualis
Lineage: Eukaryota; Metazoa; Chordata; Lepidosauria; Squamata; Lacertidae
Description: 16S ribosomal RNA
Rfam family: Bacterial large subunit ribosomal RNA
Source: RNAcentral